This 3193-nucleotide long non-coding RNA is filed under the name Heterocephalus glaber (naked mole-rat). RNAcentral's name for it is "lncRNA (ENSHGLG00100038916.1)". Lineage: Eukaryota; Metazoa; Chordata; Mammalia; Rodentia; Bathyergidae. The record is from RNAcentral.
AAAAAAAUAACUGUAACACUCACCCAAAAAAAAUAAUGUAAUUUCAAUUCUCAGAAUUAGCACAUUAAGCUGAAAUAUGGUGUUACUAAAACCAGUACUGAUUAUUAAGGUCCUCGGGGAGGCAUGUGGCUGUGGUCUGAGUGUCAGGAAUUGGGCUGUCCCUGAAUGAGCCACUUGUGCUGUCCUCUGGGCACAGUGCUUGUGGACCUGACCAGGUUUCCAUGCUGCAUUGGCUGCUGGAAAGCCUGGGCAGAACCAGCUGGGGGGUCUCCUGUGACCCGUGUGUACCCUGUGGUUUUGUGUUAACUUCACUCCUGGUUUCAUGUAACAUGUCUGUUGACAUUUGUUUUCACUCCAUCUUAUCCACCCUCAGCUAUUUAUAUUUUUCUCCUGUUGCAUAUUUUUGUAAACUGCCUCAGCUCCGUUUUUGGGCUGGACUAGGGUCUGAGUGCAGACUCCACCAAUAGGUAGCGAGGCAGCCUUGUGCUGGGUGAGGUCUGUUCUUACAGACUCAGGGACAGCUUCUUGGUGGUGUGGCCUCAUAAUGGCCAGAAGCCAUCCAGAGCUCCAUGUGGCCUGUGAGGUAGACAGUUUCUCCUGGAAUAGCUUGUGGAGUUAAAAGCAGUGUGUGCCGUUGACAGGACUCAGAAAGAGGAGGCGUGGGCAGGGACAUGGGUCAGAAGCCAGUUGCUCAUUGUGAGAACAGUGGGAAGAGAAAUGAAGGUGUGAGGAAGGGGGAAGUAGCACUUUGUAAAUGUUAGUCUGAGAUGAGGGGUGAAUCUUCCAAGCCUCUGAAAGCAGGAAUAUGAAGAAAAGGCAAUUGGAUCAUGUAAGAGGGCACUGUGGAAGGAACCUGCAAGAGUGGUGAGGACCCAGAAGCAGCAGAUGAGUGUGUGAGUUCUGGCUGUCUGAAUUAGCAGAGAGAUGAAAGAUAGCAGGGUGAAGCUGGCUCUCAGAGGGAGACUCCGUAGUGUGUGAUGAGAGGAACGCUGGCAAGGGCAAGCAAAGUCAACAUUGGUCUUCACCUGAGGAGCGUGGCUGACUUCUGUCCCCUGCAGGGCUCAACAUCGGCCCUGUGGUAGCUGGGGUGAUUGGGGCUCGCAAGCCUCAGUACGACAUCUGGGGCAAUACAGUGAACGUGGCCAGCCGCAUGGACAGCACCGGUGUGCCUGACCGCAUCCAGGUCACCACAGACAUGUACCAGGUGUUGGCUGCCAACACGUACCAGCUGGAGUGCCGGGCGUGGUCAAAGUGAAGGGCAAAGGCGAGAUGAUGACCUACUUCCUCAACGGAGGUCCCCCCUCAGUUAGCAACUGCCAGUGGUGGCGCCGAAGCCCAGGCUCCACAAGAAGGGAAAUGGCUUCUUUUGCUCCACAUGGGCAGUCUGGGAGCCUGCACUCGGCCACACCGCUGUGCUGGUGGAGAUUUCCACCUGACUCAGAAGCAGCCUCUGCCUUUGCUGGUGGGCAUGGCCUCUGGCCCAGGCCCUGGUGCCAGCGUCCUGCAAGCACCAAGCUGACCAAAGAUGUUUCCCCUGCAGAAGACUCUGCUGGACUCAGCUGAACCUUGUUUUCUGACAGGUGCUGCUGCUGCACAGUGGAGGGGCACUGCUAGAGCCCAGCACACGGCAGCAGGCCCUAGGAGGCCGCAGCCUGGACGGGGUGGGGGCAGGCUGGAUGCUGGCCUGGGGUACCAGGGACCCCGAGGGUCUGCUGCUCCUAGCGAGCCUUUAGGGUUCAGACAGGCCGCGUCCCUGCUCCCUGGUGGUGCUCUGGGGCGGGAGUGCUGGCUGUGGAGGGGCCCCGGCCUUCACCUCCACACACACAGACAGCGCCCUGUGAGGGAGAUGGGACUGAUUGUGAAGGGGAGGCAGGAGGAUGCCAAGCAAGGAGUGGGGGCUCUAGGAAAAGAAAAUAUUUAUUAAAUAAAACAUGUUUUUCUGCGCCCUUCUUUAGCUAGUUGUAUUUGUGUAAGAGACACAAGCAAACCAGGAUGCCACGGGGGAGGGAGGGGGGCGGGGCCCCAACUUGUCUUUUUUGUAUUUUUUAUUUUGUAUUAUUGAAAGCCUUGGAGAUCUAACAGAUAUACCAAAUUCUAUAUUUUGUAAAUUCUCUAUAUUAGAAAACAGCUGUGCACAGUGGGGCGUGUGUGCGCAUUUGUACUGUACGUCUGUCGGUGUGUGUGCUGGUGUACAUGUGCGUGUGUUCAUGCUGCAGACCUGUUCUCCUGCAGGCUCUGUUUCCCUCAUUUCAGACUUGGCAGAGUUUGGUUUUCCCAGGUACAGCCAGAGCAGGGCUGUGUCCCUUGGGGUUCCACACAUUUGGAUGAAGGAGGAGGACGACAUACAGAGAUGCAUUACCCCAUCUCUUUCUAACAUACACGCACACACACACAUCCCACUUCCCCUGAGUAAAAUGCAAACAGAAUAAAAAGAAAACAGCUUCUUUUCCACCCCAGGCUGCAUUGAUAGCAAGGGUCACAGCCUCACCCUAAGUAGGCAGCAUGGCUUAUUUUGUCUGCCUUUCCUUUUAGUGGGGAGGUGGUAGCCAAAGAUACUGAGGAAAGCAAACCCAUUUUUAUCACUUCUGAGGGAGGCAUUGGGAAAAUGAUGCGCUAUCGCAGAGGUGCAUUUACGCAGGGCCUGUGCCCAGAUCCGUUCACUGUUUCUCAGGAAAGGAUUUUUCUCCCUCCCACAUGAGUCUGGGGAAGGGGAGGCAGCAGCCCUAGGCCGGCUGCUGAUCCGUGACUUCAGUAUCCACCUGCAUCCCUUCAUCUGUGAACCCAGCUCUGAGAAGCAAAACUGUGGACCCCAAACUGCCAAGCCUGAGUCUGUUCCAUGCUUCUGCUGCUCCACCUUUUGAGUUCUGCCUUGGCUUCUCGCCUCUGCCGUAGAGGCCAGCUUCCUCCACCUUGUUCUUGAGUCCCUGCCUCCAUCUGGCCUGCUGGUGGUGCUGGGUGUUCGCUUUGCUUCCAACCUGAGUAGAGUGCGUGCUGCGUUCAUCCCAUGCCCCCGUUGGUCAAGGCCUGUGGGCCCUCCCCAUCCCAGCAGUGACUGGUGACAGCGUGCAGUGCUGGCUCUAUGCGUUCCCCUCUAAGGGUGUGCACUCUUUUUAUUCCUGCUCUUGCAAAAAUGGAUACAAUUAUGAUUUCCCAUGGAAAUUGAAAAGUCUAUUUAAAUAAUUUAACUAUUAAA